AGUAGCAAUUAUUAAGCAGAGAGAAAAUGUGUGGCAGACAAUUGCAGACCGACUGAAUGCGUAAGUAUCCUAAUCUAAAAAUAUACACUUCCUGCGCAAAUGAAUCUGUCAUAAUUACAAUUAAAGUUCCCUUCACAAAUUAACAGUUGUACACACUACAUAAUGUAUUAGAAGUCAGUGAUGUGGUGCUCAUAGAAAAUAUAUUUGUAGCAGGACACAGAUGCUGAACAGCCUGACAGCCUGCCUGGAAAUAUAGUGAGUAUUGCCAAUUGCUGUGCUAAUAGAUAUGUGUUUUACAGAAUUCACAAACUGUCAGACAGCUAUAUGCAAGUCAUCUGAGGAAGCAGAUAGUGCUGGCAGAUGUCAAGCUCCAGUGUGAAAAGAGGAAGCUGCAGGACAUGGAGCUUGACAGACAAAUAAAAAAAAACUUAAGGAAACUGGAAAUUAAGAAACUACAGAAAGAACUCAAAGCAGACACUGACUCAUUACAGUAUUUUUCAUCUAAAUAAAACGAGGUCAAAGAA
Non-coding RNA from Epinephelus lanceolatus (giant grouper), 524 nucleotides. The record is from RefSeq and is a predicted model, not a curated record. Lineage: Eukaryota; Metazoa; Chordata; Actinopteri; Perciformes; Serranidae.